ACAAAAAACACAAAAAUUAGCCAGGCAUGGUGACGCGCGUGCCUGUAGUCCCAACCACUUGGGAGGCUGAGGUGGGAGAAUUGCCUGAACCUGGGGAGGUCGAUUCUGCAGUGAGUUUUGAUCAUACCACUGUACUCCAGCCUGGGUGACAGAGCAAGACGCUGUCUCCAAAUUCAAUCGAACAAACGAAAAAACCUCUUAUGUACUUUAUGAGUUAGGGCACAACACACUUUGAAUAUGCUAUCUGUGAUUCUUUUUCUAGGUGGAGGGGAGAAGAAAGUGCAAACCAAAAAGUGACUGAGGCAGAUCUCAAUCAAUUAGAAGUUUAUUUUGCCAAGGCUGAGAAAAUACCCAGGAAAAACAAAUACAGCCCAUAGUAGAAUUUGUGACCUGUGCUUUUUCCAAAGAGAGUUUUGGGAACUUCGGUAUUUAAAAGGGAAAGAGCAAGCAAGAGGGAAGAGAAGAAAGUAGGCAAUGAGGCAAGUGGUUACAUUCUUGUGAGGUUCUGAUUAGUGCUUGGUAAAUCUACAUUUUACACUGAGUAGAGGAAAAGUCAAUUAAGGAUUCAUCUGGGGCUCAGUAAAUCUACAUUUUACAUCAGUUAAAGUAAGCAUGUGAAAUUACAGCUAUUUGUUUGGGAACAAAAGGAAGGCAGUUUUUAUAUGACUCAAUUCCCAAGCUUAACUUUCUCUUUGGCAUAGUGAGUUUGGGGUCCCGGGAUUCUACUUUCCUUUAACAACAGUUUUGUCCUUCAGUUUUCUACCUGUUUUAUAAAGAGCUCUGUCUGUUAGGGAAGCAGAUGUCACAGGCAAACUGGCGUGAUUUUGCAAGGGUUUAUUUACAGAGUGACUUCUUGGGGAGGUAUGGACCUACAGGAGGCAUAAGAGAUGGUGCAGUAUCCCAGGGCAAAUAUCAGCAGAGCUACUGUCAUCAUCCCUGGAGCUUUGGGGAAGGAAACAGCUACCAGAACCUGGAAGGAGAGUCACAUAAAGGAGGCUGCCUUAAGAGAAGAUGUCAUCUUCAACUGGGGGAUGCAGUCAGCCUGAGGGAACCUGUUAGAGAGGAGUCAGCAUGACUCAGGAAUCGGGGGUGCAUCUCAGAGGGCACCCUGCCUGUGUUCUCUGUUAUUGCCUGUGAGCCACGGACAGAUACCAUCAUUAUAAUCACUCAAGAAGCCUUCCUUUCAGGAAUAUAUAUUGCUUCUUAGCCCCUGCCUACUCCCUGGAAAUCCUGGGCAAAGAGCCAGGGAAAAACUGUGAGUGCUCAGGCUGAAAUCAAUGGGCUGGAAUUGUUUCUUCACUUUGGGUGACUCCACUGUUACUCAAGGAAUGAACUGAUUGGCACCAAGCAAGAAGAACAGCACAUCCCCUUGGACUCAUUCCCUUAUUUAUAAGCCAUAACCUUAAGGACAAUAAGCUAGAGACCCUGCCAGUAUCCUUGAGCCAGGAUCUCAUCUGAUGUCACGGUAGCCAUGUUUCCCCGGCAUCCGAGAGCACAAGGACGCAAAUAAGCCCUGGGCCAAACUAAGCUCUGACAGUUAAUGUUAUUGCAAAGCAGAGGCAGUGAGGGUAGGAAGUUCUGGUCCCCCUCAUCUUACUUCAAGUUUCACAGCCAAGGGUGAUGAUGGGUUUAGUCAAUAAGCACAAUCAAGGAGCCUAUGAGACAGAACUUGUCACAAAGACAGCUGAUGUUUCACAUGGACCUUAACAGAGUAACUGGUUUCUCUUCAGGAAUGGGGCACAAUCCAGAGGUUACUAACCACAGAACAUUUACUGGAUUUGGUACUUGGAGAAAGAAACUGACAAAUUAAGAAAUGAGAGAGAAUAAAUGCACUGUGCAUACUGAAACCCCAAAAAGACUUUUUUUCUCCUACUUCUUAUGGAAUUGAGGUGUUGGAAAUGGAAACAUUGUUUCAAACAAUAUCCAGAUUUUUAUCUCUCUCUCCAAGAGAUAUGGCUUUAAUCCUUUUUCUUUUUUUCUGCUGUUUUUCUGAAACAGUCUGCUAGGGGCUGAUUUCCUCUUCUUUGAAACAGACCAAAAUAUCCCUGUGGGUGAAAAACAUGCCGGAAGUGAAACAGAAAGACUCAGCUUGCCCCGUGUUCGUGGUCUGUCAACUUCUCUAGCCAGUGCCUGGGUCCACAGCUCACUGCUGCUGGUUGCCCUGAGUUAGCCACAAUGCGGGGAAGACAGGAGAGGCUUGAAGGCUUUUUAUAUUCUAUUCUCUUCUGAAGAAUUCACAAGUUAGCAAACACUCAACCACUACUAACUAGAAGGUGUUGCCAAGCAUAACAAACUACACACAUCAACAAGGCCUCCCUCAUAUUGCAAUCCCAGCAGAAAAUGAUGCAGGAAAAGCACUCCCCAAAUCUUGGUUGCCUGCCACCCAAGUUCUUUUGCCAAGAUAUGUGUUUAGCCAGCUCUAAGACGCUGCCACCUUUUCAUGUGUCCAACAUUAGGCUUUCUACCAUAGUUCCCAGUUCCCUCCACCCAGAAUGUAUUACUUGGCUCCUACAAAUGCAAGAGGAAGUGCCCUUCCCUGAACAGAAAUACAAACACAGGGUGAAACUACGACUUGUUUUCAACAGGCCUCCCGUUGUGAGCCCUCCCAACUGUGCUGCCUUUCUCCAAGAGAGCUGGGACUGGCGGCUCGAAGCAGUAUAACUGGCCUGUGCCUCUUCCUGAGGCUGCCUAUAACAAGGGUCUCAAGAGCAAUUCAUCAUCAGCUGGAGAUUUACCAACUUGGCUCACUGAGCCAGAUCGUGCUUUGUCAGAUGUGAAAUUCUGAUGUUCUAAUACACAGCUUGUUUGCAAACUAUGCCUUAAAUAAAUAUAUUCAGGAUAUUUAACAAUAUAGUGCUCUGAACUAGAGCAUCAUUUACAUCUUUGUUUAUUCAAUAAUCAUUUACUAAGUGCCAAAUAUAUGCCAAGUACUAUGCCUGGUGCAACAGUUAAAAUGCAGGAAAGAGAGAGUAUUGCCCUUACUGGGCUAUAAAUUCAAAUCUCUGUCUCAUCUCAUCAAGCAAUCCUUCCGCCUUGGCCUCCCAAAGUGCUGGGAUUAUAGGCAUGAGCCACCACACCUGGCCCAGGAGAGCUUUCUUUAAGGAGAGUGAUGCUUGAUCUCAGUUUUGAAAAGUAUAGAGGUGUUCACCUAGAGGGGAGGAAAGAAUAGAGCAUUCUGAAAAGAGAGGACUGUGGAGCUAAGGCAAAGAGAUAUUACAUAGCCUGGCAUGGUCUGGGAACUAUAAGUAGCUGAAGUUGGUGGUGAAUGGGUCAUGAGAGGAAGCGGAGCUAGGCAGAGGCCUGAUUGUAGAGAACACUGUAUUCCAAGCUAAGAACCAAAGUCAUCAUCCUGAAGGCUGUGGGGGCAAUACUGAGGAGGUUCCCAGAAAGUGAGUAAUAUUUUCUUGUCUUCGUGACAGCAGCAAAUUGAACAGUAGGGGUCGAAAACAGGGUUAGGCUAAGUAGCAGGUCAUUGCAAUAGUCCAGAAGAAUGAAGGCUUGAAACUUCAACAGGCAACAGGGAUGAAGAGGUGAGAAUAGAUUUGAGAGAAGUGAAGGGAGCAGGAUCUGCAGAACUUGGAGACUGACUGGAUUCUCGAAGAUUAAGGAGAUGGAGAAGUCAAGGGUGAAUGGUUCCCAGUUUAUUAUUUAGGCACCUGAAGGAAUGCUGGUGCCUCUCAUUUGAAAGGGAUGUAGGAAGAAGAGCUUAAUAGGGUACUCUCAGAAAGAGAAUGCCAGGUUCUCGCUUACUAAUGGCUUCCAACUGUUGAUGGCACUGCUCUAUCAGCCGUGAGGGGUGUGGCAGGCAAAGUGCAGGGUAGCUUAUCAGUCCCAGCUUCACGCGUAGGUCGCUAAAGAGCUUUCACUCAGAUCAAACCCCAGAAUGGAAGCUGCCUGCUUUAACACCACAGAGAAAAAUGUCCUUCCAAAGCUAUGGCUCCAUUGGCUCUGACCCCAUCGGGGUCACACUUCAUCACACCGAAGAAGCCAGUGUGUGCCAUUGAUUCUAGGGGGAAGAUGGUGCUGGGACUUGGCCUGACAUCCCAAUCAAAGUAAAGCCACCAAAGCAUAUUCUUUGACACAGGCUAAUACGAUUGAUGUGCCGUACAAAACGAAAAGUCCACACUCUGUAGCACCAAUAAAAGACACUAUUCUUUGGCUGCAAAGUAUGCAUAUACUCACAUAGCAAAAAAGUGGCCUGGACUAAAGCUCUUCUUACUGUUUGCUGUUUUAUAUGUAUGUAUAUGUAUCUAUAAAUGGUUUAUAUGAUAUGUAAAUUGGUGUACACAUAUAUGUAUAUACAGAAUAUCACACAGUCAUCCCAAUAUCCAUGGGAGAUUGAUUUCAGGACUCCUAUGGAUACCAGAAUCUGAGGAUGCUCAAGUCUCUCUUGUAUAAAAUGGUGUAGUAUUUGCAUAUAAUUUACACACAUUCUCUCAUAUACUUUUAUCAUCUCUAGAUUACUUAUAAUACCUAAUAAAAUGUAAAUGAUUUGUAGAUAGUUGUUAUACUGUAUUGUUUUUAUUUGCAUUAUUUGUAUUAUUUGUAUUGUCGUAUUUUUAUUUUUUAAUUGUUUUGUAUAUUUUUCUGAAUAUUUUCUGAAUAUUUUUGAUCCAUAGCUGGUUGAAUCCACAGAUGUGAAACUUGCAGAUAUGAAAGGGCUGGCUGUAUAUGUCUAAGUAUACAUAUAUAUAAAGUGGUUUUUGUAAGAGAUGAAUAUUUAUAUAUCGUAAAUGUAUGUUAUAUACUUAUCUUUUUAGUUCGCAAUUUAAUGGGAGCAUUAUUUUUUAACUUUUUAUUAUGGGGAAUUUCAAAUAUGUAUGAAAGUAGAAGAGAUAAUGUAAUGUAUCCAUCCAUGUAUCCAUCACCCAGUUGGAAUCAUUAGUAAGUCAUGGUUAAUCUUGUUUCCUCUGACAAUGCCCCCACCAAUAUCUCCUCUUGCCUCCUGGACUAUUUUAAAGCAAAUAUAUUGGAAGCAUGUGUAUGUAUGUGUACCUGUGUAUUAGAAAUACUUUUUAU
Piliocolobus tephrosceles (Ugandan red Colobus) is the source of this 5019-nucleotide long non-coding RNA. RefSeq lists it as uncharacterized. The record is from RefSeq and is a predicted model, not a curated record. The transcript is spliced from 3 exons. Lineage: Eukaryota; Metazoa; Chordata; Mammalia; Primates; Cercopithecidae.